UACGUAGGGUGCAAGCGUUAAUCGGAAUUACUGGGCGUAAAGCGUGCGCAGGCGGUUAUGCAAGACAGAUGUGAAAUCCCCGGGCUCAACCUGGGAACUGCAUUUGUGACUGCAUAGCUAGAGUACGGUAGAGGGGGAUGGAAUUCCGCGUGUAGCAGUGAAAUGCGUAGAUAUGCGGAGGAACACCGAUGGCGAAGGCAAUCCCCUGGGCCUGCACUGACGCUCAUGCACGAAAGCGUGGGGAGCAAACAGG
Molecule: ribosomal RNA, 253 nt
Filed under: uncultured bacterium
Lineage: Bacteria
Description: partial 16S ribosomal RNA
Rfam family: Bacterial small subunit ribosomal RNA
Source: RNAcentral